UACCUAGCAGCUCUAGUGGUGGCCGCUAUUAUUGGGCCUAAAACGUCCGUAGCCGGUUUAAUAAAUGCCUGGGUAAAUCGUGUAGCUUAACUAUACGAAUUCCGGGUAGACUGUUAAGCUUGAGAUCGGGAGAAGUUAGAGGUACUCCUGGGGUAGAGGUGAAAUUCUGUAAUCCUAGGGGGACCACCAGUGGCGAAGGCGUCUGACCAGAACGGGUCUGACGGUGAGGGACGAAGCCCUGGGGCGCAAACCGGAUUAGAUACCCGGGUAGUCCAGGGUGUAAACGCUGCUUGCUUGAUGUUAGUCGGGCUCCGAGCCCGAUUAGUGUCGGAGAGAAGUUGUUAAGCAAGCUGCCUGGGAAGUACGGUCGCAAGUCUGAAACUUAAAGGAAUUGGCGGGGAGCACAGCAACGGGUGGAGCGUGCGGUUU
Molecule: ribosomal RNA, 429 nt
Filed under: uncultured archaeon
Lineage: Archaea
Description: bacterial SSU rRNA
Rfam family: Archaeal small subunit ribosomal RNA
Source: RNAcentral